RNAcentral lists this transfer RNA (74 nucleotides) under Ipomoea nil (Japanese morning glory). It matches the Rfam family "tRNA". From Rfam's summary of the family: Transfer RNA (tRNA) molecules are approximately 80 nucleotides in length. Their secondary structure includes four short double-helical elements and three loops (D, anti-codon, and T loops). Lineage: Eukaryota; Viridiplantae; Streptophyta; Magnoliopsida; Solanales; Convolvulaceae. The record is from Rfam by way of RNAcentral.
UUCGUUGUAGUCUAGUUGGUUAAGGACACUCGGCUCUCACCCGAGAGACUCGGGUUCAACUCCCGGCAACUGGA